GCCUCUAUAGCUCAGCGGUUAGAGCAUCUGAUUCUUAAUCAGAGGGUCCUCGGUUCGAAUCCGAGUGGGGGCAC
This 74-nucleotide transfer RNA is filed under the name Arthrobacter phage Mimi. RNAcentral's name for it is "tRNA-Lys". It matches the Rfam family "tRNA". From Rfam's summary of the family: Transfer RNA (tRNA) molecules are approximately 80 nucleotides in length. Their secondary structure includes four short double-helical elements and three loops (D, anti-codon, and T loops). RNAcentral also lists the same sequence under 1 other name. Lineage: Duplodnaviria; Heunggongvirae; Uroviricota; Caudoviricetes. The record is from RNAcentral.